GAUCCUGGUUCAGAUUGAACGCUGGCGGCAGGCUUAACACAUGCAAGUCGAACGGUAACAUGAAGAAGCUUGCUUCUUUGAUGACGAGUGGCGGACGGGUGAGUAAUGCUUGGGAAUCUAGCUUAUGGAGGGGGAUAACUACGGGAAACUGUAGCUAAUACCGCGUAGAAUCGAGAGAUGAAAGUGUGGGACCUUCGGGCCACAUGCCAUAGGAUGAGCCCAAGUGGGAUUAGGUAGUUGG
This 241-nucleotide ribosomal RNA is filed under the name uncultured bacterium. Its description in RNAcentral is "partial 16S ribosomal RNA". It matches the Rfam family "Bacterial small subunit ribosomal RNA", at positions 15 to 252 of the family's 1533-position model. The record is from RNAcentral.